Molecule: transfer RNA, 75 nt
Filed under: Bacteroidia bacterium
Lineage: Bacteria; Pseudomonadati; Bacteroidota; Bacteroidia
Also listed under: 1 other name
Description: tRNA-Gln
Rfam family: tRNA
About the family: Transfer RNA (tRNA) molecules are approximately 80 nucleotides in length.
Source: RNAcentral
UGGGGUGUAGCCAAGUGGUAAGGCAGCGGCCUUUGGAGCCGCCAUUCCCAGGUUCGAAUCCUGGCACCCCAGCCA